Long non-coding RNA from Branchiostoma belcheri (Belcher's lancelet), 1110 nucleotides. RefSeq lists it as uncharacterized. NCBI's taxonomy places the organism in Eukaryota, Metazoa, Chordata, Leptocardii, Amphioxiformes, Branchiostomatidae. The record is from RefSeq and is a predicted model, not a curated record. The transcript has 3 exons.
UCAUGGGAAUCCUAUCAAAACCGUCAACAACCCUUCUCACCUGCGGCGUAACAGACCUUCUCUGUCUUCAAGACGCCGUGAGAACUCACCUGUACGUCUUGUGACGUCAAAACCAAGAGGCUUCAGUUCCUGGAGCGUCCGAGAACCUUACAGAGAUAUUAAAGACCGGGAAAAGGUUUCCAAUCUCUCACAAGACACACCUGGAAAAUUUCAGGUGGUGUGUAUCUAUAUCUGUAGGAUCAGACCAGGCAUGGACGGAAGGGAACAGGAGACAAUGGAGAAAGACAAGGAGUCCGGGCCGGAGGAGUCCGGGUCUGAAGUGUCGAGUUGGAAGGACAUGGAUGAAGACGAGAAGGCGCUGUGGAAGGCUGCAGGGGAAGGAGACACGGACAGAGUGAAGCAGCUGUUAGCGGAGGGAGUCAACCCUAAUGCUGCUGAUGGCCGUCGGGUUUGUUGCCAUGUCUUUCGUCAUUUUGCUUACUAUGGUGAUAAAACAUUUAAGGCUGUGCAAUGAAAAUCAAGAGGUGUUGGGGGCAAACCGUUUAAGAGCGACACAGAUGGGAAGGUUCAGGGCGCACUGGUCGCUGCACCCGUCUUCAGCUUUCAGCUUGUCUGUAACAUAUCCGUAUCAUUUCCCAAAGCAACCAGGAAUGGCUACCAUGAAACUGUGUCAGCUUUACUGACAGCUGGUGCAGAUGUGAACGCACAGAACAUGGUGGUUGGUACACUGAUUGCUGUGAUACAAGAAAUAUCUUUGUGCCAGUUUGUAAGAUUUGACAUUUGCUGUUUAAAAUAUCACAAACACAAACACUGUUACCAACAUUUCAUGUGGCACUUUUGUCUGUUCUGGUGCAGAUGUGCACGGAACGAUAACAUAGGUGGACUGACUACUUUAUUUCCGAAACAUUUUCAUGUCUUAUAAGAUUUGAUAUUCAUCUUUUACAUAACGGUUUACUUGCUGAAUUCCGUUAGAAUUGUCAACAAAAUAACUGCACAUUUGUCCUACCUGUUGUCAUGCUGAAGGCCAUCUGAUGUAUUUACAGCAAGACUCUCCCCUGCACCUGGCAGCCUGGAAUGGCCACCAUGAAACUGUAUCAGUUUUACUGACAG